GGGCCUACGGGAGGCAGCAGUAGGGAAUUGUUCGCAAUGGGCGCAAGCCUGACGACGCAACGCCGCGUGGAGGAUGAAGACCUUCGGGUCGUAAACUCCUUUCGACCGAGAUGAAUACCUUUCGACCUAAUACGUCGAGAGGCUGACAGUAUCGAGGGAAGCAGCCCCGGCUAACUCCGUGCCAGCACCCGCGG
Molecule: ribosomal RNA, 194 nt
Filed under: uncultured bacterium
Lineage: Bacteria
Description: partial 16S ribosomal RNA
Rfam family: Bacterial small subunit ribosomal RNA
Source: RNAcentral